This 492-nucleotide ribosomal RNA is filed under the name uncultured bacterium. RNAcentral describes it as "partial 16S ribosomal RNA". It matches the Rfam family "Bacterial small subunit ribosomal RNA", at positions 29 to 507 of the family's 1533-position model. The record is from RNAcentral.
AGUGAACACUGGCGGUAGGCCUAACACAUGCAAGUCGAACGGCAGCACAGUAAGAGCUUGCUCUUACGGGUGGCGAGUGGCGGACGGGUGAGGAAUACAUCGGAAUCUACUUUUUCGUGGGGGAUAACGUAGGGAAACUUACGCUAAUACCGCAUACGACCUACGGGUGAAAGCAGGGGAUCUUCGGACCUUGCGCGAUUGAAUGAGCCGAUGUCGGAUUAGCUAGUUGGCGGGGUAAAGGCCCACCAAGGCGACGAUCCGUAGCUGGUCUGAGAGGAUGAUCAGCCACACUGGAACUGAGACACGGUCCAGACUCCUACGGGAGGCAGCAGUGGGGAAUAUUGGACAAUGGGCGCAAGCCUGAUCCAGCCAUACCGCGUGGGUGAAGAAGGCCUUCGGGUUGUAAAGCCCUUUUGCUGGGAAAGAAAAGCAGCAGGUUAAUACCCCGCUGUUCUGACGGUACCCAAAGAAUAAGCACCGGCUAACUUCGUG